GUUCUUAUANUUGAAAUACAACNAUGAUUUUUCAUGUCAUUAGUCA
RNAcentral lists this transfer RNA (46 nucleotides) under Canis lupus familiaris (dog). Its description in RNAcentral is "partial tRNA-Glu". The record is from RNAcentral. Lineage: Eukaryota; Metazoa; Chordata; Mammalia; Carnivora; Canidae.